AUGAAAAAAAGGGGAUGGCCGGGGAUGUUAGGUAGUCUUGACUGCAUGCAUUGGAGGUGGAAAAAUUGCCCAAAGGCAUGGCACAGAAUGUAUUGCGGUAAAAGCCGUGAUGCUACCAUUGUGCUUGAGGCCGUAGCAUCUCAGGACACAUGGAUUUGGCAUGCAUUCUUUGGGUUGCCGGGAACACUCAAUGAUAUCAAUAUCCUCAAUAGAUCUCCUUUGUUCAAAAGAUUAAUUUCUGGGGAUGCUCCAGCUUGCAACUACAAAAUCAUGGACAAUGAGUACUCAAUGGGAUACUAUCUCACCGAUGGCAUCUAUCCCGAAUGGGCAACUCUUGUGAAGUCCAUCAAGGAGAAAAAUAGGGUGCCCUUAACAAGAAAAGAGGCUCAUUUCACCAAGGCACAAGAGGCAGCCCGCAAGGAUAUUGAGAGAGCUUUCGGUGUUUUGCAAGCAAGGUUUGCCAUAGUUCGUGGUCCAGCUCGGUUUUGGGACAAAAAAACCUUGAUGAACAUCAUGAAAUGUUGUGUGAUUCUACACAACAUGAUCCUAGAGGAUGAAAGAGGGUUAAACCUCCCUUGUUUCUAUGACAAUGUUGGUACCCGUGUGCAACUGGAAAGAAACCCUUCUCGCAUACACGCUUUUCUUCAAGCAUAUCGUGAGAUUGAGGAUGCAACCACUCAUGGUCGGCUCCGGGAUGAUCUAAUAGAGCACCACCGGCAGUUGGAUGGGCGGCGCAUUGGCCCAUGA
RNAcentral lists this ribosomal RNA (747 nucleotides) under Triticum aestivum (bread wheat). RNAcentral describes it as "partial small subunit ribosomal RNA". The record is from RNAcentral. Lineage: Eukaryota; Viridiplantae; Streptophyta; Magnoliopsida; Poales; Poaceae.